UAGCCUUGACAUAUUUUAGAACUCCGUAGAGAUACAGAGGUGCCUUCGGGAGCUAAUUUACAGGUGCUGCACGGCUGUCGUCAGCUCGUGUCGUGAGAUGUUGGGUUAAGUCCCGCAACGAGCGCAACCCUCGUCACUAGUUACUAACGGUUCGGCCGAGGACUCUAGUGAGACUGCCUUCGUAAGGAGGAGGAAGGUGAGGACGACGUCAAGUCAUCAUGGCCCUUACGGCUAGGGCAACACACGUGCUACAAUGGACAGGACAGUGAGACGCGAUACCGUGAGGUGGAGCAAAUCUAUAAACCUGGUCUCAGUUCGGAUUGUAGUCUGCAACUCGACUACAUGAAGCUGGAAUCACUAGUAAUCGUAGAUCAGCUAUGCUACGGUGAAUACGUUCCCGGGUCU
RNAcentral lists this ribosomal RNA (405 nucleotides) under uncultured bacterium. RNAcentral's name for it is "bacterial SSU rRNA". It matches the Rfam family "Bacterial small subunit ribosomal RNA", at positions 976 to 1381 of the family's 1533-position model. The record is from RNAcentral.